CCUUGUGAGCAUUUUUCAUUGUUUUAAUAUCAUGUUUAUGAACUGUUUUAUUUUUGUAAGUCUUUCAUUCAGGAGGAGAAAUUAUAGGGCCAGUUUUUUUUUAACCUUGUGAGAAUAACAGGUAUUUAAUCAUCAUAGUUUGGUACCAUGGUAACAUCAUCAGAAGUAAUCAACAACAACUUACAAGUUUUUGAUACACAUGUUUCCAUUGAAACUUCAUUAUUUGAUUACAGAGUAUGGCCAAAGAUCAAAAUUACUUAGUCAUACUCCUUUUUUUCAUUGAGUGCUUGAUUGUUAUUAAUCAUUAUGUUUGAUUCAGAGUGGAUCAAAUUAAACAUGUUUAGAUUUUUGAGAAUGAAAUCAUUUGUGCUGAUCCAUACAGGUCUUAUACCACCAAAUCAUACAUAGUAGGUCACAUCCAGUUGCAUUUGAAAACGGAUUAAAAAUAUGUUCCUUUUAAUUUGUCCUACAUUUCAUUGCAGUGAAGAAGAAAAAAACAUAUAUAUUGGAUGUAUCAAAGCACCUUUCUUUUAUUAUUUGGUGUUUUUAUAGAAUAUUUUGAAACUGGUAGUUACAUGAUUACAAAAGCUUGUUCACAAGAAAAAAGGAGUGAAAAUUUGACUGGUUAACUUUCAAUGACGGUUUUUAUCUUAUAUGCAAUAAGAAUUAUAAGAUGUAAUGUGAAAUUUUGUCUGUAGCACUGGACAUACAUAGAAUAUUACUCAUGCCAAGUAUUUCUUUAUUUGAUCAAAAGUUAACUUCUGCUCAAUUUUUUUAAAAGUGCAAAUGUUAACAGGCUUAUAGAGGGAAAACAAUUGAUUAAGGUGAGCCUACCCUUUUGGAGAAAAAAACCCUGAACUAAGCCAAUCAAACAGUAAAAUCACUUUGUUGCCACUGAGAUUUGUCAGUGUAAAACUUUAAUGUUCUCAAACCUCUCAUUCUUUACAUCCUUCUAUUUAUUUAUAUGAAGUCGACCCAUGUGAAACAUUGUCCCUUUAAUGAUGUACAAAUAGUCAUGAAGCACCUGUUCCAGCUCUUGUAUAAAAGCAUGCAAAGCAAACCUUUGAUAAACUUGCUAGCUAUGUUGUUCUGGACAAUAAACAUUAACUUCAUUUCAAGGUUAAGUUCCACAUUGUAUGCCAACUUUUAUUGUCCAAUCAAAUCCCAGUAUAUAUUAAACAGACUGAAACUCCACCUUCCUAUAGUUUGCAAACAGCAAACAUAGCAAGCAAGUCGAUCAAAGUUUUGUUUUGCAUGCUUUUAUAGAAAAGCUGUAAAUCCCUUCUCUAUAUGCAUCAUGUGAGUGAUUUAUAUUAGAGAUUUUUAAAUAAAAAUAAACAUGUAAUCAGUGUUUAAUACUUUUCCAUACCUGCAAAUGAACAUAUAGGUGCUGGUUGAGUUUGACACCUGCCAAUGCACAAUAUCUGCAAGAGAGUCUUCCUUUUUUCCCUUAAAAAGUUGAAAUGAACCCUUUUUUCCCUUAAAAACUUGAAAUGAACCCUAUAGUUUUGACCAAUCACCUGGAAAGAAAGUAGCGAUAUCAAUUUUUAUAAAAAUGCCCCUUUUAUGAUUUGAGUUGUUUGAUGUUUAAUUUUUUUGUUAUUGAUUUUCAGUGUAUUGCCAAAAUAUAGUUAUUUGUACAUUAAAGAAGACAUCACAUGUCAUCAAGAUUGUUAUUUAAUAAAAUUAAUCAAAUCCAUGUAACUAUGGAUAAUUAGAUUUUAUAUGUAUGUGCUGGAAUGUUACAAUAUUCUUAAUGAACAAAAAAGUUGUCAAACAUAAUUAUCUCCCCUUUUAGCUGAACUUAGAAAGAGAAAGUCUACUACUUUGUAGCUCCAGGUUUUAGUGGCCGCAAUGGGUUGUAUAUGUCAUUCAUUGUUAGAUUGUCUUUUCAUGAAAAUAUUUGUGAUAUACUGGUCUUUCCAUGUUUGUUAUUAUAUUUUACUUAAAUAUUUAUAGCAAUACAAUGUUUUGAUUUCUUGCAUGUUAUUUAUUCACUUUGCUACUUGUUUUUAGAAUAUCAGUUUUUUUAUUUAUUUCUUUUUCAUUCAGAAAACAGUUUGAUGUUAAAGUGGUUUAAGUUUUUUUCCAAAGCAAUAAUAUAAGGCUGCAAUAAAAGAUACUUUUUAGUAUACAUAAAUGAGACAGCAUUAUAGCAGCAGCAUUAAACCAAAAAAAAUAGUUCUUAAGUAUAUAUUUACAUUGGUUUUUAUUUUAUACCAUCAAAGUACUAUCUUAUUUGUGGCAUUCUAAUUAUGGCAAACAUAGCAAUUAAAGAUUUCAAAUUUUGUCAAAAAACAAAUAAGGAUACAUGGCCGUUAUCAUUAAUCAUCAUAUUUCCCCUUUUUUCAAUACCAUAAGCAUCAUUAAUAAGAUGAAAUUUUAUCCUCAAGACAUGUGUGGCAUCAUAUUUUUAAUCUUAAACAUUACUGUAAAUCAUUGUGUGAGUCUUAUACAUAUUUAAGGCAAAAAAAGUGCGGACUAUACACAACCAAAUACGGCAGUAAACAUAAAACAUAUAAAUAUACACAGAAAUCAGACUUGGCUUUGAAAAUACAUAUUUCGAUUCAUGUUUCAAAAGUUUAAGUUCAAGGUAAAUUCAAAGAGAGACAAAUCAAUAAAACAACAUUAAAUUCUUAUAUAAAUUUUAUAACAGUGCUUGAGAAAAAUUGAAAUAUGAAUUAAGCAUUUGCAUGAAAAAAAAAGAUUAAUAAAAG
RNAcentral lists this long non-coding RNA (2717 nucleotides) under Mytilus galloprovincialis (Mediterranean mussel). The record is from RNAcentral. Lineage: Eukaryota; Metazoa; Mollusca; Bivalvia; Mytilida; Mytilidae.